CCUACGGGAGGCAGCAGUGGGGAAUAUUGGGCAAUGGGCGCAAGCCUGACCCAGCAACGCCGCGUGAAGGAAGAAGGCUUUCGGGUUGUAAACUUCUUUUAAGGGGGAAGAGCAGAAGACGGUACCCCUUGAAUAAGCCACGGCUAACUACGUGCCAGCAGCCGCGGUAAUACGUAGGUGGCAAGCGUUAUCCGGAUUUACUGGGUGUAAAGGGCGUGUAGGCGGGACUGCAAGUCAGAUGUGAAAACCACGGGCUCAACCUGUGGCCUGCAUUUGAAACUGUAGUUCUUGAGUACUGGAGAGGCAGACGGAAUGCCUAGUGUAGCGGUGAAAUGCGUAGAUAUUAGGAGGAACACCAGUGGCGAAGGCGGUCUGCUGGACAGCAACUGACGCUGAGGCGCGAAAGCGUGGGUAGCAAACAGGAUUAGAUACCCCUGUAGUC
Molecule: ribosomal RNA, 442 nt
Filed under: uncultured bacterium
Lineage: Bacteria
Description: partial 16S ribosomal RNA
Rfam family: Bacterial small subunit ribosomal RNA
Source: RNAcentral